GGAGGAGGGCGGGUCUUACCAUGCAAGUCGAGCGGUAAGGCCCUUCGGGGUACACGAGCGGCGAACGGGUGAGUAACACGUGAGCAACCUGCCCCUGACUCCGGGAUAAGCGGUGGAAACGCCGUCUAAUACCGGAUACGACCCGCCACCUCAUGGUGGAGGGUGGAAAGUUUUUCGGUCAGGGAUGGGCUCGCGGCCUAUCAGCUUGUUGGUGGGGUAACGGCCUACCAAGGCGAUUACGGGUAGCCGGCCUGAGAGGGCGACCGGCCACACUGGGACUGAGACACGGCCCAGACUCCUGCGGGAGGCAGCAGUGGGGAAUAUUGCGCAAUGGGCGAAAGCCUGACGCAGCGACGCCGCGUGGGGGAUGACGGCCUUCGGGUUGUAAACCUCUUUUACCACCAACGCAGGCUCCCAGUUCUCUGGGGGUUGACGGUAGGUGGGGAAUAAGGACCGGCUAACUACGUGCCAGCAGCCGCGGUAAUACGUAGGGUCCGAGCGUUGUCCGGAAUUAUUGGGCGUAAAGAGCUCGUAGGCGGCGUGUCGCGUCUGCUGUGAAAGACCGGGGCUUAACUCCGGUUCUGCAGUGGAUACGGGCAUGCUAGAGGUAGGUAGGGGAGACUGGAAUUCCUGGUGUAGCGGUGAAAUGCGCAGAUAUCAGGAGGAACACCGGUGGCGAAGGCGGGUCUCUGGGCCUUACCUGACGCUGAGGAGCGAAAGCAUGGGGAGCGAACAGGAUUAGAUACCCUGGUAGUCCAUGCCGUAAACGUUGGGCGCUAGGUGUGGGGACUUUCCACGGUUUCCGCGCCGUAGCUAACGCAUUAAGCGCCCCGCCUGGGGAGUACGGCCGCAAGGCUAAAACUCAAAGGAAUUGACGGGGGCCCGCACAAGCGGCGGAGCAUGUUGCUUAAUUCGACGCAACGCGAAGAACCUUACCAAGGUUUGACAUCACCCGUGGACUCGCAGAGAUGUGAGGUCAUUUAGUUGGCGGGUGACAGGU
Molecule: ribosomal RNA, 1000 nt
Filed under: Nocardiopsis sp. ZZY-2013
Lineage: Bacteria; Bacillati; Actinomycetota; Actinomycetes; Streptosporangiales; Nocardiopsidaceae
Description: bacterial SSU rRNA
Rfam family: Bacterial small subunit ribosomal RNA
Source: RNAcentral